UUACUAGCUAGUUGGUGAGGUAAAGGCUCACCAAGGCGACGAUCCGUAGCUGGUCUGAGAGGACGACCAGUCACACUGGAACUGAGACACGGUCCAGACUCCUACGGGAGGCAGCAGUGGGGAAUUUUGGACAAUGGGGGCAACCCUGAUCCAGCCAUUCCGCGUGAGUGAAGAAGGCCUUCGGGUUGUAAAGCUUUUUCAGCAGGAACGAAACGGCUCUCUCUAACAUAGGGAGUUAAUGACGGUACCUGAAGAAGAAGCACCGGCUAACUACGUGCCAGCAGCCGCGGUAAUACGUAGGGUGCGAGCGUUAAUCGGAAUUACUGGGCGUAAAGCGUGCGCAGGCGGCGCCAUAAGACAGAUGUGAAAUCCCCGGGCUUAACCUGGGAACUGCGUUUGUGACUGUGGUGCUCGAGUGUGGCAGAGGGGGGUGGAAUUCCACGUGUAGCAGUGAAAUGCGUAGAGAUGUGGAGGAACACCGAUGGCGAAGGCAGCCCCCUGGGUCAACACUGACGCUCAUGCACGAAAGCGUGGGGAGCAAACAGGAUUAGAUACCCUGGUAGUCUACGCCCUAAACGAUGCGAACUAGGUGUUGGGGAAGGAGACUUUCUUAGUACCGCAGCUAACGCGUGAAGUUCGCCGCCUGGGGAGUACGGUCGCAAGAUUAAAACUCAAAGGAAUUGACGGGGACCCGCACAAGCGGUGGAUGAUGUGGAUUAAUUCGAUGCAACGCGAAAAACCUUACCUACCCUUGACAUGCCAGGAAGUCCGCUGAGAAGUGGAUGUGCCCGAAAGGGAACCUGGACACAGGUGCUGCAUGGCUGUCGUCAGCUCGUGUCGUGAGAUGUUGGGUUAAGUCCCGCAACGAGCGCAACCCUUGUCAUUAAUUGCCAUCAUUCAGUUGGGCACUUUAAUGAGACUGCCGGUGACAAACCGGAGGAAGGUGGGGAUGACGUCAAGUCCUCAUGGCCCUUAUGGGUAGGGCUUCACACGUCAUACAAUGGUCGGUACAGAGGGUUGCCAACCCGCGAGGGGGAGCCAAUCCCACAAAGCCGAUCGUAGUCCGGAUCGCAGUCUGCAACUCGACUGCGUGAAGUCGGAAUCGCUAGUAAUCGUGGAUCAGCAUGUCACGGUGAAUACGUUCCCGGGUCUUGUACACACCGCCCGUCACACCAUGGGAGUGGGUUCCACCAGAAGUAGGUAGUCUAACCGCAAGGAGGGCGCUUACCACGGUGGGAUUCAUGACUGGGGUGAAGUCGUAACAAGGUA
Molecule: ribosomal RNA, 1269 nt
Filed under: metagenome
Description: bacterial SSU rRNA
Rfam family: Bacterial small subunit ribosomal RNA
Source: RNAcentral